Molecule: ribosomal RNA, 492 nt
Filed under: uncultured bacterium
Lineage: Bacteria
Description: partial 16S ribosomal RNA
Rfam family: Bacterial small subunit ribosomal RNA
Source: RNAcentral
AGUGAACGCUGGCGGUAGGCCUAACACAUGCAAGUCGAACGGCAGCACAGUAAGAGCUUGCUCUUACGGGUGGCGAGUGGCGGACGGGUGAGGAAUAAAUCGGAAUCUACUUUUUCGUGGGGGAUAACGUAGGGAAACUUACGCUAAUACCGCAUACGACCUACGGGUGAAAGCAGGGGAUCUUCGGACCUUUCGCGAUUGAAUGAGCCGAUGUCGGAUUAGCUAGUUGGCGGGGUAAAGGCCCACCAAGGCGACGAUCCGUAGCUGGACUGAGAGGAUGAUCAGCCACACUGGAGCGGAGACACGGUCCAGAGUCCUGCGGCAGGCAGCAGUGGGGAAUAUUGGACAAUGGGCGCAAGCCUGAUCCAGCCAUACCGAGUAGGUGAAGAAGGCCUUCGGGUUGUAAAGACCUUUUGUUGGGAAAGAAAAGCAGCAGGUUAAGACCCCGCUGUUCUGACGGUACCCAAAGAAUAAGCACCGGCUAACUUCGUG